UGCCUUCAACAAAGAUUUUUCUUCAUAGAAGAAGAAGAAGAGGAACCUCCCUUUGAAUAUAAGAAGGGGUAUCGCAUUUCAACUCUCUAUUCGAGAAAGAGGAGAUCAAGACCCGAUUCCUGAAAAGUAGAAUAUCUGAUCCUUGACUUCUAUGAAAGGGGAGGUUGGUGUUAUCCAUUUCACCUAUAGGAAAACAGAUGCUAGCUGCUAAAAGGGCUCUUUUAGAAUUUGUCUUUCAUGCAUCUUGUAACUCUUCAAAUGAAAAAGUAGAUGCAACGGAAUAAAACCUCAUCCUCCUCUUGGAGGUCAUCUUCUUUAGCCAUGAGGCAAAGGUUUGCUACUUCAUCCAUGCUUUCUUUAGCAUUGGAGCUUGAUUCAUCACUAUCAUCUUUUGUAGAAGCUUUGAGAGCCCCUGUUCUUCUUGUAUCAUCCUCUUCUUCUCCAUUCUUCAUGGUAAGCUCAUGGGUCAUUAGAGAACCCAAGAGUUCUUCUAGAGGUAGUCUUGUGAGGUCUUUGGCUUCUUGAAUGGCGGUGACCUUAGCUUCCCCUGAUCUAGGAAGCGCUCCCCCUCACUAGCUCACUGUUGGAGUCAGAUUUGCCAAGAGAUUUCAAGGCAUUGAUGAUAACGGUGAAGCGAGUGAACAUUUGUGUGAUUGAUUCAUCACCCCUGAGGCUAAGCUUAAACCUU
RNAcentral lists this long non-coding RNA (688 nucleotides) under Amborella trichopoda. Its description in RNAcentral is "long non-coding RNA (ATRI_LNC000889)". Lineage: Eukaryota; Viridiplantae; Streptophyta; Magnoliopsida; Amborellales; Amborellaceae. The record is from RNAcentral.